CAAUACUUAGUGGCAGACGGGUGAGUAACAUGUAGGCAUCUGCCCUUUGGCCUGGAAUAACACGAGGAAACUUGUGCUAAUACCGGAUAAGUCUUUACGGAGAAAGCUUUAUGCACCAUUGGAUGAGCCUGCACUUGAUUAGUUUGUUGGUGGGGUAAUGGCCUACCAAGACUGUGAUCAAUAGCUGAUUUGAGAGGAUGAUCAGCCACAUUGGGACUGAGACACGGCCCAAACUCCUACGGGAGGCAGCAGUGGGGAAUCUUGCACAAUGGAGGAAACUCUGAUGCAGCGAUGCCGCGUGAGUGAAGAAGGCCCUUGGGUUGUAAAGCUCUUUCGUCGGGGAAGAAAAUGACUGUACCCGAAUAAGAAGGUCCGGCUAACUUCGUGCCAGCAGCCGCGGUAAUACGAAGGGACCUAGCGUAGUUCGGAAUUACUGGGCUUAAAGAGUUCGUAGGUGGUUGAAAAAGUUAGUGGUGAAAUCCCAGAGCUUAACUCUGGAACUGCCAUUAAAACUUUUCAGCUAGAGUAUGAUAGAGGAAAGCAGAAUUUCUAGUGUAGAGGUGAAAUUCGUAGAUAUUAGAAAGAAUACCAAUUGCGAAGGCAGCUUUCUGGAUCAUUACUGACACUGAGGAACGAAAGCAUGGGUAGCGAAGAGGAUUAGAUACCCUCGUAGUCCAUGCCGUAAACGAUGUGUGUUAGACGUUGGAAAUUUAUUUUCAGUGACGCAGGGAAACCGAUAAACACACCGCCUGGGGAGUACGACCGCAAGGUUAAAACUCAAAU
Molecule: ribosomal RNA, 783 nt
Filed under: uncultured marine bacterium
Lineage: Bacteria
Description: bacterial SSU rRNA
Rfam family: Bacterial small subunit ribosomal RNA
Source: RNAcentral